CAAGCAACAUUUCAUUUCUUUUCAAGCUAUGUGUGCGGCGAUGUGGUAGUUGAGAUUUGAUCAAAGAUUGCAAGAAAAAAAAUACUUCAUGUUGUUUUUCUUACAUGUAUAUUAUUACUAGGUAGUAUUAUUUGAUUGUGGCGGUCAAAAACCUAAGCAAUGUUUGAUUGGAGGUUCUUGCUUCUCCCAUUAGAUUCUUAC
RNAcentral lists this long non-coding RNA (201 nucleotides) under Physcomitrium patens. Its description in RNAcentral is "long non-coding RNA (PPAT_LNC006760)". The record is from RNAcentral. Lineage: Eukaryota; Viridiplantae; Streptophyta; Bryopsida; Funariales; Funariaceae.